AGAGUUUGAUCCUGGCUCAGGAUGAACGCUGACGGCGUGCCUAACACAUGCAAGUCGAGCGAUUCUCUUCGGAGAAGAGCGGCGGACGGGUGAGUAACGCGUGGGUAACCUGCCUCAUACACAUGGAUAACAUACCGAAAGGUAUGCUAAUACAAGAUAAUAUAAGAGAUUCGCAUGGGUCUCUUAUCAAAGCUCCGGCGGUAUGAGAUGGACCCGCGUCUGAUUAGCUAGUUGGUAAGGUAACGGCUUACCAAGGCGACGAUCAGUAGCCGACCUGAGAGGGUGAUCGGCCACAUUGGAACUGAGACACGGUCCAAACUCCUACGGGAGGCAGCAGUGGGGAAUAUUGCACAAUGGGCGAAAGCCUGAUGCAGCAACGCCGCGUGAGCGAUGAAGGCCUUCGGGUCGUAAAGCUCUGUCCUCAAGGAAGAUAAUGACGGUACUUGAGGAGGAAGCCCGGCUAACUACGUGCCAGCAGCCGCGGUAAUACGUAGGGGGCUAGCGUUAUCCGGAUUUACUGGGCGUAAAGGGUGCGUAGGUGGUUUCUUAAGUCAGGAGUGAAAGGCUACGGCUCAACCGUAGUAAGCUCUUGAAACUGGGAAACUUGAGUGCAGGAGAGGAAAGUGGAAUUCCUAGUGUAGCGGUGAAAUGCGUAGAUAUUAGGAGGAACACCAGUAGCGAAGGCGGCUUUCUGGACUGUAACUGACACUGAGGCACGAAAGCGUGGGGAGCAAACAGGAUUAGAUACCCUGGUAGUCCACGCCGUAAACGAUGAGUACUAGGUGUCGGGGGUUACCCCCUCGGUGCCGCAGCUAACGCAUUAAGUACUCCGCCUGGGGAGUACGCUCGCAAGAGUGAAACUCAAAGGAAUUGACGG
This 877-nucleotide ribosomal RNA is filed under the name uncultured bacterium. RNAcentral's name for it is "bacterial SSU rRNA". It matches the Rfam family "Bacterial small subunit ribosomal RNA", at positions 8 to 916 of the family's 1533-position model. The record is from RNAcentral.